GAAUGCUGACAUAAGUAACGAUAAAGCGGGUGAAAAGCCCGCUCGCCGGAAGACCAAGGGUUCCUGUCCAACGUUAAUCGGGGCAGGGUGAGUCGACCCCUAAGGCGAGGCCGAAAGGCGUAGUCGAUGGGAAACGGGUUAAUAUUCCCGUACUUGGUGUUACUGCGAAGGGGGGACGGAGAAGGCUAUGUUGGCCGGGCGACGGUUGUCCCGGUUUAAGCGUGUAGGUGUGUGUUCCAGGUAAAUCCGGUUCACUUUAACACUGAGGCGUGACGACGAGGCACUACGGUGCU
Molecule: ribosomal RNA, 293 nt
Filed under: Salmonella enterica
Lineage: Bacteria; Pseudomonadati; Pseudomonadota; Gammaproteobacteria; Enterobacterales; Enterobacteriaceae
Also listed under: 3 other names
Description: partial 23S ribosomal RNA
Rfam family: Bacterial large subunit ribosomal RNA
Source: RNAcentral